This 161-nucleotide ribosomal RNA is filed under the name Delpinophytum patagonicum. Its description in RNAcentral is "5.8S ribosomal RNA". It matches the Rfam family "5.8S ribosomal RNA". Rfam says of the family: 5.8S ribosomal RNA (5.8S rRNA) is a component of the large subunit of the eukaryotic ribosome. It is transcribed by RNA polymerase I as part of the 45S precursor that also contains 18S and 28S rRNA. Functionally, it is thought that 5.8S rRNA may be involved in ribosome translocation. The record is from RNAcentral. Lineage: Eukaryota; Viridiplantae; Streptophyta; Magnoliopsida; Brassicales; Brassicaceae.
AACGACUCUCGGCAACGGAUAUCUCGGCUCUCGCAUCGAUGAAGAACGUAGCGAAAUGCGAUACUUGGUGUGAAUUGCAGAAUCCCGUGAACCAUCGAGUCUUUGAACGCAAGUUGCGCCCCAAGCUUUCAGGCUGAGGGCACGUCUGCCUGGGUGUCACA